UCCACGAAAUCUGCAUUCAUAUACUAUCCAUUUCCUGCUUCUUCUGAUGGAGAACAAGAGAUCGUGUAAAUUUUGAAGAUUAAUUCAAAAUUUGACUAUCAAUAAAAAUAAUUAAAUUGGUUUUGUUAAACCUUCUGGCCCAAACCUAUCUCUAGCCAAACCCAAAGCAAGAGUUCUGUAUCAAAAAGACACUGUGUGUAAGGUUUUUCGCCGCGCACUUACGCGGCUGGCAAAAGAAUACUGUAAUCACCCUCCCCGCUUUAAGGGGCCUGCGGAAGGAUCAUUACAGUAUUCUUUUGCCAGCGCUUAACUGCGCGGCGAAAAACCUUACACACAGUGUCUUUUUGAUACAGAACUCUUGCUUUGGUUUGGCCUAGAGAUAGGUUGGGCCAGAGGUUUAACAAAACACAAUUUAAUUAUUUUUAUUGAUAGUCAAAUUUUGAAUUAAUCUUCAAAACUUUCAACAACGGAUCUCUUGGUUCUCGCAUCGAUGAAGAACGCAGCGAAAUGCGAUAAGUAAUAUGAAUUGCAGAUUUUCGUGAAUCAUCGAAUCUUUGAACGCACAUUGCGCCCUCUGGUAUUCCAGAGGGCAUGCCUGUUUGAGCGUCAUUUCUCUCUCAAACCCCCGGGUUUGGUAUUGAGUGAUACUCUUAGUCGAACUAGGCGUUUGCUUGAAAAGUAUUGGCAUGGGUAGUACUGGAUAGUGCUGUCGACCUCUCAAUGUAUUAGGUUUAUCCAACUCGUUGAAUGGUGUGGCGGGAUAUUUCUGGUAUUGUUGGCCCGGCCUUACAACAACCAAACAAGUUUGACCUCAAAUCAGGUAGGAAUACCCGCUGAACUUAAGCAUAUCAAAAGCCGGAGGAA
RNAcentral lists this ribosomal RNA (864 nucleotides) under Meyerozyma caribbica. Its description in RNAcentral is "eukaryotic LSU rRNA". The stretch from base 456 to 609 matches the Rfam family "5.8S ribosomal RNA". Lineage: Eukaryota; Fungi; Ascomycota; Pichiomycetes; Serinales; Debaryomycetaceae. The record is from RNAcentral.